Molecule: non-coding RNA, 73 nt
Organism: Dovyalis caffra
Lineage: Eukaryota; Viridiplantae; Streptophyta; Magnoliopsida; Malpighiales; Salicaceae
Source: the annotation of a GenBank genome assembly
GCGCUUGUGGCCUAAUGGAUAAGGCGUCGGAUUUCUAAUCAAACGAUUGUGGGUUCGAAUCCCACCAGGCGUA